This 228-nucleotide long non-coding RNA is filed under the name Jatropha curcas. Its description in RNAcentral is "long non-coding RNA (JCUR_LNC000427)". Lineage: Eukaryota; Viridiplantae; Streptophyta; Magnoliopsida; Malpighiales; Euphorbiaceae. The record is from RNAcentral.
UGGUGGGGCAAACCUCAGCGUGGGCGCUGAGUCCCUAAGGGGGGGUGAGCGGUGGCUGCAGAGAGGCAGUGCACUCACCUUAGGCAAAUCCCACAUCGGCUACGCACAAGGUUCACGAUCAGUACAUAAGAGGGGUGGUAGCUUAACCUGGUAGGCGCCUUUUGGGGUGGAUUGAAAAGCCUGGCCCAAGGGACAAAACCGUGCGGGCCUGCGUGGCCCAAAGCGGAC